This is a ribosomal RNA of Danio rerio (zebrafish), 121 nucleotides long. The record is from Ensembl. Lineage: Eukaryota; Metazoa; Chordata; Actinopteri; Cypriniformes; Danionidae.
GCUGGUGGAGACUUACCCCUCUCUGCAACUCUCACAUGGUCACCCACUAAAGCUAAGCAGGGCUGCGCUUGGUCAGUACCUGGAUGGGAGACCACGUGGGAAAGCUAAGUUGCUGCCGGAA